This 66-nucleotide ribosomal RNA is filed under the name Gallionellaceae bacterium CG1_02_56_997. RNAcentral describes it as "partial 16S ribosomal RNA". The record is from RNAcentral. Lineage: Bacteria; Pseudomonadati; Pseudomonadota; Betaproteobacteria; Nitrosomonadales; Gallionellaceae.
CAGGUAUUGAACUUAAGAGUUUGAUCCUGGCUCAGAUUGAACGCUGGCGGUAUGCUUUACACAUGC